This 506-nucleotide ribosomal RNA is filed under the name uncultured bacterium. Its description in RNAcentral is "partial 16S ribosomal RNA". It matches the Rfam family "Bacterial small subunit ribosomal RNA", at positions 29 to 523 of the family's 1533-position model. The record is from RNAcentral.
AGUGAACGCUGGCGGUAGGCCUAACACAUGCAAGUCGAACGGCAGCACAGGAGAGCUUGCUCUCUGGGUGGCGAGUGGCGGACGGGUGAGGAAUACAUCGGAAUCUACUCUGUCGUGGGGGAUAACGUAGGGAAACUUACGCUAAUACCGCAUACGACCUACGGGUGAAAGCAGGGGACCUUCGGGCCUUGCGCGAUUGAAUGAGCCGAUGUGGGAUUAGCGAGUUGGCGGGGUAAAGGCCCACCAAGGCGACGAUCCGUAGCUGGUCUGGAAGGAUGAUCAGCCAAACUGGAACUGAGACACGGUCCAGACUCCUACGGGAGGCAGCAGUGGGGAAUAUUGGACAAUGGGCGCAAGCCUGAUCCAGCCAUACCGCGUGGGUGAAGAAGGCCUUCGGGUUGUAAAGCCCUUUUGUUGGGAAAGAAAUCCAGCUGGCUAAUACCCGGUUGGGAUGACGGUACCCAAAGAAUAAGCACCGGCUAACUUCGUGCCAGCCGCCGCCGUAA